UCCCAGGUGGCUUAGUAGUAAAGAAUCUGCCUGCAAUUCAGGAGAUACAGGUUUGAUCCCUGGGCUGGGAG
This 71-nucleotide transfer RNA is filed under the name Bos taurus (domestic cattle). It matches the Rfam family "tRNA". From Rfam's summary of the family: Transfer RNA (tRNA) molecules are approximately 80 nucleotides in length. Their secondary structure includes four short double-helical elements and three loops (D, anti-codon, and T loops). The record is from Rfam by way of RNAcentral. RNAcentral also lists the same sequence under 5 other names. Lineage: Eukaryota; Metazoa; Chordata; Mammalia; Artiodactyla; Bovidae.